UACGUAGGGUGCAAGCGUUGUCCGGAAUUAUUGGGCGUAAAGAGCUCGUAGGCGGUCUGUUGCGUCGGCUGUGAAAACCCGGGGCUCAACCCCGGGCCUGCAGCCGAUACGGGCAGACUAGAGUUUGGUAGAGGAGAACGGAAUUCCCGGUGUAGCGGUGGAAUGCGCAGAUAUCGGGAGGAACACCCGUAGCGAAGGCGGUUCUCUGGGCCAAUACUGACGCUGAGGAGCGAAAGCGUGGGGAGCAAACAGG
RNAcentral lists this ribosomal RNA (253 nucleotides) under uncultured bacterium. Its description in RNAcentral is "partial 16S ribosomal RNA". It matches the Rfam family "Bacterial small subunit ribosomal RNA", at positions 524 to 776 of the family's 1533-position model. The record is from RNAcentral.